This 465-nucleotide ribosomal RNA is filed under the name uncultured bacterium. Its description in RNAcentral is "partial 16S ribosomal RNA". It matches the Rfam family "Bacterial small subunit ribosomal RNA", at positions 28 to 507 of the family's 1533-position model. The record is from RNAcentral.
GACGAACGCUGGCGGCGUGCUUAACACAUGCAAGUCGAACGGAAAGGCCCUGCUUGCAGGGUACUCGAGUGGCGAACGGGUGAGUAACACGUGGGUGUUCUGCCCUGCACUUCGUGGGAAGCCUUGGGAACUGUGGGUAAUACCGGGGAGAGGCGAUUCUGAUGCUGGGGGUGGGAAAGUUUUUUCGGUGUAGGAUGGGCGCGCGGGCUGUCCGCUUGUUGGUGGGGGAAUGGCCUACCAAGGCGGCGACGGGUAGCCGGCCUGGGGGGGUGGACGGCCACCUUGGGGCUGAGAUUCGGCCCCGGCUCCUACCGGGGGCAGCAGGGGGGAAUAUUGCACAAUGGGCGCGAGCCUGAUGCAGCGACGCCGCGUGGCGGAAGACGGCCUUCGGGUUGGAAACUCCUUUCGCUAGGGACGGAGCUUUUUGUGACGGUACCUAGAAAAGAAGCACCGGCUAACUACGUG